UAGGGAAUAUUGGGCAAUGACCGAAAGGUUGACCCAGCGACGCCGCGUGGAGGAUGAAGGCCUUCGGGUUGUAAACUCCUGUCAGAGGGGAAGAAACUCUCGCUUAAUAAACGGGAUUGACUUAACCCUCAGAGGAAGCACCGGCUAACUCCGUGCCAGCAGCUGCGGUAAUACGGAGAGUGCAAGCGUUGUUCGGAUUUACUGGGUGUAAAGGACCUGUAGGCGUCCAGAUCAAUCAGACGUGUAAGCCCCCGGCUUACCCGGGGAACGGCAUCUGAUAUUGUCUGGAUCGAGGAUAGGAUAGGAGAGCGGAACUGUAGGUGUAGCGGUGAAAUGUGUAGAUAUCUACAGGAACAACAGAGGCGCAGGCGGCUCUCUGGCCUAUAUCUGACGCUGAGGGGUGAAAGCUAGGGGAGCAAACAGG
Molecule: ribosomal RNA, 424 nt
Filed under: uncultured bacterium
Lineage: Bacteria
Description: bacterial SSU rRNA
Rfam family: Bacterial small subunit ribosomal RNA
Source: RNAcentral